RNAcentral lists this ribosomal RNA (253 nucleotides) under uncultured bacterium. RNAcentral's name for it is "partial 16S ribosomal RNA". It matches the Rfam family "Bacterial small subunit ribosomal RNA", at positions 524 to 776 of the family's 1533-position model. The record is from RNAcentral.
GACGAACCGUGCGAACGUUGUUCGGAAUCACUGGGCUUAAAGGGCGCGUAGGCGGGCUCACAAGUCAGGGGUGAAAGCCCGCGGCUCAACCGUGGAAGGGCCUUUGAUACUGUGGGCCUCGAGGGGGGUAGGGGCGUGCGGAACUUCCGGUGGAGCGGUGAAAUGCGUAGAUAUCGGAAGGAACAUCGGUGGCGAAAGCGGCGCGCUGGACCCCUUCUGACGCUGAGGCGCGAAAGCCAGGGGAGCAAACGGG